This is a non-coding RNA of Oryza sativa Japonica Group (Japanese rice), 2886 nucleotides long. The record is from RefSeq and is a predicted model, not a curated record. NCBI's taxonomy places the organism in Eukaryota, Viridiplantae, Streptophyta, Magnoliopsida, Poales, Poaceae.
UGCCUUGCCUCGCGCCGCCACCGCCUCCCCCUCGCACCGCCGCCGAACGCCGCCGCCGCCCCUCCUCCCUCUCCCUCAGCCAUCCUCCUCCUCCGCCGCCGGUCCACUCACCCCUAACCCUAGCCGCUGUCGCCCGCCUCCCCUCCUCCGCCACCGUCGUCGCCGUCGCCGCCGAGCGCCGCCACUUCCGCCUUCGCCUCGCGCCACCGCGUCCACAUCUGCCUCGCCCUCGCGCCGCCGCUUCCACCUCCACCGACGCCGCCGUCGUGUCGCCGUCUCCGAGUGCCUUCACCUCUGCCUUCCCCUCGCUCCGACGCCUUUCCGCCGAGCGUGGGCUUCGAGGUGAACAUGGAGAAAGCGAGGAGGCGAACACUCCUCUCCACCCCCGCCGACGCCGAUGCCGACGCCGCCGCCGCCUCCCCAUCGCGGUGCCACCUCCUGCUCUACCCGGCCGCCUCCGCCUCGCGCUGCCGCUGCUGUCGUCGCUGUCGAUCGCCGUCUCCGGCUGGCUCACCUCCGCCAAUGCCGAGCAGUGCCUCAACCUCUUCGGCCCCAACAAGCUCAAGGAGAAGAAGGAAAGCAAGUUCUUGAGGUUCUUGGGGUUCAUGUCGAACCCGCUGUCCUGGGUCAUGGAGGCCGCGGCGAUCAUGGCCAUCGCUCUCGCCAAUGGAGUAGGAAGCUGCCGGGCUGGCAGGACUUCGUGGGCAUCAUCACACUGCUCAUAAUGAACUCCACAAUCAGUUUCAUUGAGGAGAACAAUGCCGGCAAUGCCACCGCCACUCUCAUGGGCCGCCUCGCCCCAAGGGCCAAGGUGUGCAGCUGUGAUGAUUGUGUGUUGUGAUCUCAAGCAAUACUGACUUUUGCUUGUGGUUGAUCUAGCGGACACAGAAUCGAGCUCUCCUUGAGCAGCUUGCCACCAUUGUCAACGAUGACAAGGGGACGAAUCGGCCACAACAGGGAGGCUAAGGGUCUCAGAUCCUCCUUCCCCUUGUCUUUGCCGCGGUGUUCAUCCCUUUCACAACAGAGAAAAAAUUACCGGUUCAAUCGGCGACAGCAAUGGCCGCUCAACCUUGGUGGCAGUUCCUCGACCUGCUGCUUCCGCUGCUCGUAGCGGUCAUGAGGCAGGUGGCUGGCGGCGUCCAAGCCCCAUCCCCAAGGCUCUUCCCAGUGGCCAUCUCGUGAGGGUGGCCGGAUUUCUGACCAUGUUGCGCGGGAGAGAUGGCAGCAGCGGCUGGAGCGAUGUGAUGGGGAACAAAGGAGGAGGCCAGCAUCAGGUGGGACAGGAGGUUUGGGCCUUUUUAUUUUUAAUGAGGGGUAGGGUAGUUGUCUGGUUGUCCAUGUUCUAAUUUACCUCAUUAGUGUUGUGCUAAAUCGAAGGCGAGUUCCAGUAGUGCCAUUAUUCACGAUCAUUAGGAAAAUAAAUCAAUGAUGUACACAAAAGCUUGCAGUGCAACAUUGCUGCCUUCCAUGAAAUGAUUUCUUCCAAAAGAAUGGAAUGAUAAUGUCAUCAUUCAGCGUGCUGCAUUUUUUCCACUCGCUCUUAGUGGAGUUUACCAAGUCUCAAGUUGUUACAUCGAUCCCAGGAUUUUUCUUUUGCAUAUGGUAUUCUGCGAAGAAGCAUUGGCUAGCAAACAAUGUUUUGGGGAUUGCUUUCUGCAUUCAGUAUGCUCUUGUCUUAUCUUGAGAUAUAAGGGAAUUGAGAUGCUAUCACUUGGAUCAUUCAAAACUGGUGCUAUUCUCUUGGGGAUGAAAUUGUUACCAAUGGGAAGGAAAAGUUUAUUUUACCUCACAAUUUAUGGAUCUGUGGUAGGGGUUGGCUCCUAUGCUGUACACUAUUUCUCCACAUUGGUUGCUUCUAUUCUGGAAAAUUUUGGUUUAAGUGAAGAGAUGCACAACCCUGCAGAAAGCACAUAUAAUCUAUUGUUAAGGAAACAUCUCGCAACGAUCUACGGGGCGAGGUUGGAGUCCAUCCACAGGAGGACGACGUGAGAGUGGCCGCAGCUGGAGCCAAGGCCAAAAAAGAAGCCGAAGCUGGUGGGAAUGUCAGCGGCAAGCAGAGCACAGCCGGGUAGGGGAGGGGCGCCGUGGUCCUGCUGCAUCCUGCCCCCAAAAGUCCAAGCUCGAUCCGCCACUGCUAGGGUUAAAUAAGAUUCAAUUCAACACGAAACACAUCAAAAUUAUUCUGAAGCACAAGCCCCUUCACUCCCUCCACAUGCGGUUCUUGUAGUUUAAAAUGAACACAAUGAUUCAUAGACUAAAAUGAACAAAUGGCAACGAUCGCCAUCUCUGAAUCAAUGUGCGUGCUUCGGAACUAGGGUCAACUACUAUGUCGACUGUUGCUCGCACCUCCAUUGACAUCAAUCUCAUAUCCAAGGUUUGACACCUUUGGAUUGCAUACCAGAAUUUUCCAUGUUAUUCAGCUCGCAAUAAUUCAUCUUCAGGCAACCAUGCGGUCGGUGGAAAACAAUUAGAGGUACAGUGUGGAGUGGUUUGCAAUCCAGUUAGCAAGCUUAUGCGCACUCAAGAUGAAGGAAGGGGAUGAUGCAAUUUGGAGCACCUCUUUCUGACCAGAUGGACUCAAUUUUCACGGGCUCAGAAACUAAUGAAAAAUUAGUUCAUAUGUAUGUUGUGCAGGCAAUAGCUGUCUCUUGAAAGGUUCUCACAGCCUUACAGAUCAGUAGAUCACAAUGGGCAAGGUCAAGAUUGGAAGGAAGUGAGAACAUAACAUGCAUCUGAUGAAGGAAUUGACAGCAGGAUAGACUGAGAAUAAGCCGGUCCUUUUCUUUUCCCUUUGUUUGGACAUAAUAUUGAAGAAGUGGGUAUACAUUUUUCAGAAGAAUGUGAGCAUAAAUGUUGAUUUAUACAGUACUGAAAAACAAUUACAUA